RNAcentral lists this ribosomal RNA (236 nucleotides) under uncultured bacterium. RNAcentral's name for it is "partial 16S ribosomal RNA". It matches the Rfam family "Bacterial small subunit ribosomal RNA", at positions 122 to 353 of the family's 1533-position model. The record is from RNAcentral.
UAACCUGCCUUAUAGUGGGGGAUAGCCUUUCGAAAGGAAGAUUUAAUACCGCAUAAGAUUGUAGUAUCGCAUGAUAUAGCAAUUAAAGGAGCAAUUCGCUAUAAGAUGGACCCGCGUCGCAUUAGCUAGUUGGUGAGGUAAUGGCUCACCAAGGCGACGAUGCGUAGCCGACCUGAGAGGGUGAUCGGCCACAUUGGGACUGAGACACGGCCCAGACUCCUACGGGAGGCAGCAUG